This 2337-nucleotide ribosomal RNA is filed under the name Escherichia coli Bd5610_99. RNAcentral's name for it is "bacterial LSU rRNA". It matches the Rfam family "Bacterial large subunit ribosomal RNA", at positions 607 to 2925 of the family's 2925-position model. The record is from RNAcentral. Lineage: Bacteria; Pseudomonadati; Pseudomonadota; Gammaproteobacteria; Enterobacterales; Enterobacteriaceae.
UUUGUAUAAUGGGUCAGCGACUUAUAUUCUGUAGCAAGGUUAACCGAAUAGGGGAGCCGAAGGGAAACCGAGUCUUAACCGGGCGUUAAGUUGCAGGGUAUAGACCCGAAACCCGGUGAUCUAGCCAUGGGCAGGUUGAAGGUUGGGUAACACUAACUGGAGGACCGAACCGACUAAUGUUGAAAAAUUAGCGGAUGACUUGUGGCUGGGGGUGAAAGGCCAAUCAAACCGGGAGAUAGCUGGUUCUCCCCGAAAGCUAUUUAGGUAGCGCCUCGUGAAUUCAUCUCCGGGGGUAGAGCACUGUUUCGGCAAGGGGGUCAUCCCGACUUACCAACCCGAUGCAAACUGCGAAUACCGGAGAAUGUUAUCACGGGAGACACACGGCGGGUGCUAACGUCCGUCGUGAAGAGGGAAACAACCCAGACCGCCAGCUAAGGUCCCAAAGUCAUGGUUAAGUGGGAAACGAUGUGGGAAGGCCCAGACAGCCAGGAUGUUGGCUUAGAAGCAGCCAUCAUUUAAAGAAAGCGUAAUAGCUCACUGGUCGAGUCGGCCUGCGCGGAAGAUGUAACGGGGCUAAACCAUGCACCGAAGCUGCGGCAGCGACACUGUGUGUUGUUGGGUAGGGGAGCGUUCUGUAAGCCUGUGAAGGUGUACUGUGAGGUAUGCUGGAGGUAUCAGAAGUGCGAAUGCUGACAUAAGUAACGAUAAAGCGGGUGAAAAGCCCGCUCGCCGGAAGACCAAGGGUUCCUGUCCAACGUUAAUCGGGGCAGGGUGAGUCGACCCCUAAGGCGAGGCCGAAAGGCGUAGUCGAUGGGAAACAGGUUAAUAUUCCUGUACUUGGUGUUACUGCGAAGGGGGGACGGAGAAGGCUAUGUUGGCCGGGCGACGGUUGUCCCGGUUUAAGCGUGUAGGCUGGUUUUCCAGGCAAAUCCGGAAAAUCAAGGCUGAGGCGUGAUGACGAGGCACUACGGUGCUGAAGCAACAAAUGCCCUGCUUCCAGGAAAAGCCUCUAAGCAUCAGGUAACAUCAAAUCGUACCCCAAACCGACACAGGUGGUCAGGUAGAGAAUACCAAGGCGCUUGAGAGAACUCGGGUGAAGGAACUAGGCAAAAUGGUGCCGUAACUUCGGGAGAAGGCACGCUGAUAUGUAGGUGAAGUCCCUCGCGGAUGGAGCUGAAAUCAGUCGAAGAUACCAGCUGGCUGCAACUGUUUAUUAAAAACACAGCACUGUGCAAACACGAAAGUGGACGUAUACGGUGUGACGCCUGCCCGGUGCCGGAAGGUUAAUUGAUGGGGUCAGCGCAAGCGAAGCUCUUGAUCGAAGCCCCGGUAAACGGCGGCCGUAACUAUAACGGUCCUAAGGUAGCGAAAUUCCUUGUCGGGUAAGUUCCGACCUGCACGAAUGGCGUAAUGAUGGCCAGGCUGUCUCCACCCGAGACUCAGUGAAAUUGAACUCGCUGUGAAGAUGCAGUGUACCCGCGGCAAGACGGAAAGACCCCGUGAACCUUUACUAUAGCUUGACACUGAACAUUGAGCCUUGAUGUGUAGGAUAGGUGGGAGGCUUUGAAGUGUGGACGCCAGUCUGCAUGGAGCCGACCUUGAAAUACCACCCUUUAAUGUUUGAUGUUCUAACGUGGACCCGUGAUCCGGGUUGCGGACAGUGUCUGGUGGGUAGUUUGACUGGGGCGGUCUCCUCCUAAAGAGUAACGGAGGAGCACGAAGGUUGGCUAAUCCUGGUCGGACAUCAGGAGGUUAGUGCAAUGGCAUAAGCCAGCUUGACUGCGAGCGUGACGGCGCGAGCAGGUGCGAAAGCAGGUCAUAGUGAUCCGGUGGUUCUGAAUGGAAGGGCCAUCGCUCAACGGAUAAAAGGUACUCCGGGGAUAACAGGCUGAUACCGCCCAAGAGUUCAUAUCGACGGCGGUGUUUGGCACCUCGAUGUCGGCUCAUCACAUCCUGGGGCUGAAGUAGGUCCCAAGGGUAUGGCUGUUCGCCAUUUAAAGUGGUACGCGAGCUGGGUUUAGAACGUCGUGAGACAGUUCGGUCCCUAUCUGCCGUGGGCGCUGGAGAACUGAGGGGGGCUGCUCCUAGUACGAGAGGACCGGAGUGGACGCAUCACUGGUGUUCGGGUUGUCAUGCCAAUGGCACUGCCCGGUAGCUAAAUGCGGAAGAGAUAAGUGCUGAAAGCAUCUAAGCACGAAACUUGCCCCGAGAUGAGUUCUCCCUGACCCUUUAAGGGUCCUGAAGGAACGUUGAAGACGACGACGUUGAUAGGCCGGGUGUGUAAGCGCAGCGAUGCGUUGAGCUAACCGGUACUAAUGAACCGUGAGGCUUAACCUU